RNAcentral lists this ribosomal RNA (253 nucleotides) under uncultured bacterium. RNAcentral describes it as "partial 16S ribosomal RNA". It matches the Rfam family "Bacterial small subunit ribosomal RNA", at positions 524 to 776 of the family's 1533-position model. The record is from RNAcentral.
UACAGAGGUCUCAAGCGUUGUUCGGAAUCACUGGGCGUAAAGGGUGCGUAGGCGGCGUGGAAAGUCAGAUGUGAAAUCCGCGGGCUCAACCCUCGAAUCGCAUCCGAAACUACCAUGCUAGAGGACUGAAGGGGAGCUUGGAAUUCUCGGUGUAGCAGUGAAAUGCGUAGAUAUCGAAAAGAACGCCCGUGGCGAAGGCGAAGCUCUGGUCAGUAACUGACGCUGAGGCACGAAGGCCAGGGUAGCAAACGGG